Molecule: transfer RNA, 77 nt
Filed under: Klebsiella pneumoniae
Lineage: Bacteria; Pseudomonadati; Pseudomonadota; Gammaproteobacteria; Enterobacterales; Enterobacteriaceae
Also listed under: 1 other name
Description: tRNA-Ile
Rfam family: tRNA
About the family: Transfer RNA (tRNA) molecules are approximately 80 nucleotides in length. Their secondary structure includes four short double-helical elements and three loops (D, anti-codon, and T loops).
Source: RNAcentral
AGGCUUGUAGCUCAGGAGGUUAGAGCGCACCCCUGAUAAGGGUGAGGUCGGUGGUUCAAGUCCACUCAGGCCUACCA